This 254-nucleotide ribosomal RNA is filed under the name uncultured bacterium. RNAcentral describes it as "partial 16S ribosomal RNA". It matches the Rfam family "Bacterial small subunit ribosomal RNA", at positions 524 to 776 of the family's 1533-position model. The record is from RNAcentral.
UACGUAGGCAGCAAGCGUUGUUCGGAGUUACUGGGCGUAAAGGGUGCGUAGGCGGCUUUUUAAGUUUGGUGUGAAAUCUCCCGGCUCAACUGGGAGGGUGCGCCGAAUACUGAGAGGCUAGAGUGUGGGAGAGGAAAGUGGAAUUCCUGGUGUAGCGGUGAAAUGCGUAGAUAUCAGGAGGAACACCGGUGGUGUAAACGGCUUUCUGGACCAUAACUGACGCUGAUGCACGAAAGCGUGGGGUAGCAAACAGG